Molecule: ribosomal RNA, 322 nt
Filed under: uncultured eukaryote
Lineage: Eukaryota
Description: partial 18S ribosomal RNA
Rfam family: Eukaryotic small subunit ribosomal RNA
Source: RNAcentral
CCCUUAGAUGUUCUGGGCCGCACGCGCGCUACACUGAUGCAUUCAACGAGUUUUUCCUGGUCCGAGAGGAAUGGGUAACCUUUUGAAAGUGCCUCGUGCUAGGGAUAGACUAUUGCAAUUAUUGGUCUUCAACGAGGAAUUCCUAGUAGACGUAGUUCAUCAGACUGCAUCGAUUACGUCCCUGCCCUUUGUACACACCGCCCGUCGCUCCUACCGAUUGGAUGAUCCGGUGAGCUAUUCGGACCUUCGCUUCGUCGAUUUUCGGCUUUGUGAGGGAAAGUCUCGCGAACCUUAUCAUCUAGAGGAAGGAGAAGUCGUAACA